Arabidopsis thaliana (thale cress) is the source of this 268-nucleotide long non-coding RNA. RefSeq annotates it as other RNA. The record is from RefSeq. The transcript has a single exon. Lineage: Eukaryota; Viridiplantae; Streptophyta; Magnoliopsida; Brassicales; Brassicaceae.
AUUGCAUCGUAACCGUCAGAUUGAGGUGAGUACAUGUGUCGUAAUCUACUUAUCAUUCUCAAAAUUUUGGCGCCUUAAUUCGCCUCUCAAAAAAUUUCAAUCGCUUCAAAGUUCAAACGGAGACGGUCUUUGCAUAUGUCAAGUUUCCGUUAAACUUUGACGGGUCAGGCUAGAGCCAUCCAAGUCCAACUAUCCCGGUGACUAGCGUUUAUAUAUAUGCUACAUAACCAGGCCCGGCCCAAGUGGGUAGUGCCUGGGCCUAAGGCCG